UUGCUCUGACAGUAUAUUUAUAUAAAACUGAAAUGAUACAGAGAUAAUUAGCAUGGCCCCUGCACAAAUGUGUUAAGCAUUUCAUACUAAAAGUCCACUACAGCA
Small nuclear RNA from Mus caroli (Ryukyu mouse), 105 nucleotides. Lineage: Eukaryota; Metazoa; Chordata; Mammalia; Rodentia; Muridae. The record is from RefSeq and is a predicted model, not a curated record.